AGGAAGCUGACUUUAUUCAGUGUUACAUGAUUCUGUUUCUUUCUUAUACAUAACCACUAAGGGAAAAAAAUAAGAUAAAAGGAUAAAGAAAAGCUCUAGACUGGUGAAUGAAAUCCUGUUUUCCUUUUGUUUGCUCCGGGGUUGGUCAGUAAGGGUAGAGAAAUAAUCAUCUUUAUGUGUGGCUAUGCUUCAACUGGGUGAGGAGGUUGAGAUCUGUAAAAUGAAGGUUCAGGAUGCCUAGACAGAUGAUUUGGAAAAAGGCCUCUGUGACAUAGGUCCCUACUGACACUGUCUGUACAAGUAGUAAGACACCAAGGCAGAAGGAUUUGUUUACAUCUAGAAGAUGAAUGCUGGAUUAACUUUUUUGAUGGGAAAAGAGCAUACCAUUUCAGGAAUCCCACUGUCCUGGUCUGUGGCACUCUGGCACUUUGGUUUCAUGGUAUUUUCUGAAAUACAAUUGAAAGUGUGGAUUAUGUGAGGAUUAAUUUUCUU
Long non-coding RNA from Pogoniulus pusillus (Red-fronted tinkerbird), 492 nucleotides. RefSeq lists it as uncharacterized. Lineage: Eukaryota; Metazoa; Chordata; Aves; Piciformes; Lybiidae. The transcript has 4 exons. The record is from RefSeq and is a predicted model, not a curated record.